Molecule: long non-coding RNA, 608 nt
Organism: Bubalus bubalis (water buffalo)
Lineage: Eukaryota; Metazoa; Chordata; Mammalia; Artiodactyla; Bovidae
Exons: 2
Source: RefSeq, a predicted model, not a curated record
AUGACCUGUACUAUCCCAUAGAACCCCCAUUUAGAAAGGCCCCAAGCUUAGCGCUUUGCUUAAUCUCUGCUGUCACUGUCUUGAACUUCUUAGGAAUUUUGAAUUAGAAGCCCCACAAUCUAUGUGGCCAAUCCCACUUCCAGCUAUCUGCAUAGCUGAUUCUUUUUUGUCCCUUAAGGCUUAGUUCCAAUGUUAGCUCUUCAGAGGCCCUCCCUGACCAUCCUAUCUAUGUGGCCCCCUCCUCCCCUUCCUAGUGAUUCCCUGAUAUGUAUCAGUUAGUGUCCCACUUAUCAUUAGCACAUUACUAUUUACCAUCUUUCUCUCCCCUAGAAGAAUGGGUCCUGUCUGUUCAGUUCAUCACUGUGUCGCUAUGCAUGGCUCAAGUGUCUUGGGCCAACUGAGAGCUUCUGCUCCAUCCAGGAAGAGGCAAGGCCACUGGGAAGCCCGAGCUGCGGGGCUCACUUGCGUGUGCAGUCAUCCACCCGUUCCCAGCCCUCAGCAAAUGUCCUGCAGGAGCUUACCCCCACCCAAGCCAGCCCUGCCCUCAGCCCCACAUGCCGCCUCCCUCCUAAAGGCCUGUCCCUCUACCACCAUUACCACUACUGCAG